AGAUAAUUAGACACGUACAAAGUACUGGGGUCCUAUAAGUUUACGCAUACGUAUGUAACACUUCGAAUUGAACUCCCUGCGUAAGGGGAAACCUAUUGUGGUUGUCCAGAGAUGCCAAAUCAGC
Bradysia coprophila is the source of this 124-nucleotide long non-coding RNA. The record is from RefSeq and is a predicted model, not a curated record. Lineage: Eukaryota; Metazoa; Arthropoda; Insecta; Diptera; Sciaridae.